This 439-nucleotide ribosomal RNA is filed under the name uncultured bacterium. Its description in RNAcentral is "partial 16S ribosomal RNA". It matches the Rfam family "Bacterial small subunit ribosomal RNA", at positions 339 to 795 of the family's 1533-position model. The record is from RNAcentral.
CUACGGGGUGCAGCAGUGGGGAAUAUUGCACAAUGGGCGAAAGCCUGAUGCAGCAACGCCGCGUGGAGGAUGACACAUUUCGGUGCGUAAACUCCUUUUAUAUAAGAAGAUAAUGACGGUAUUAUAUGAAUAAGCACCGGCUAACUCCGCGCCAGCAGCCGCGGUAAUACGGGGGGUGCAAGCGUUACUCGGAAUCACUGGGCGUAAAGAGCAUGUAGGCUGGAUGACAAGUUGGAAGUGAAAUCCUAUGGCUUAACCAUAGAACUGCUUCCAAAACUGUCUUCCUAGAGUAUGGGAGAGGUAGAUGGAAUUUCUUGUGUAGGGGUAAAAUCCGUAGAGAUCAGAAGGAAUACCGAUUGCGAAGGCGAUCUACUGGAACAUUACUGACGCUCAGAUGCGAAAGCGUGGGGAGCAAACAGGAUUAGAUACCCCCGUAGUC